AUUAAUACAUGCAAUUUGGACGGAAAACACAAAAAAUGGAUGUUUUCAAUGGCGGAAGGGUAGGUAACACGUAAGAACUUGUCCAUGGGAGGGAAACAACACCUGGAAACGACUGCUAAUACCCCGCAAUCUAAGGAGCAAAAGGAGCAAUCGUCCGAGAAGGGGCUCGCGUCUGAUUAGUUGGUGAGGCAUAGCUUACUAAGACGAUGAUCAGUAGCUGAUCUGAGAGGAUGAUCAGCUACAGUGGGACUGCAGUAGU
RNAcentral lists this non-coding RNA (259 nucleotides) under Solanum lycopersicum (tomato). RNAcentral describes it as "Bacterial small subunit ribosomal RNA". It matches the Rfam family "Bacterial small subunit ribosomal RNA", at positions 48 to 328 of the family's 1533-position model. The record is from Rfam by way of RNAcentral. Lineage: Eukaryota; Viridiplantae; Streptophyta; Magnoliopsida; Solanales; Solanaceae.